This 243-nucleotide long non-coding RNA is filed under the name Linum usitatissimum (flax). RNAcentral's name for it is "long non-coding RNA (LUSI_LNC000649)". The record is from RNAcentral. Lineage: Eukaryota; Viridiplantae; Streptophyta; Magnoliopsida; Malpighiales; Linaceae.
UGGGAAUUUGGAAGCUCAGGUUGCCGAUUCAGGAUACGGAAGUGAACCUGGGUAUAGAGGAGAUGCUGAGUUUGGUUAUGGCGAUGAGUUUGACGAAGAGGAAGAAGAUCCCAGGCCACUGUUUUGGGGUCAUCAUUUGAGAGGUACUGUACUCUUUCCUGAUUUCAUAGUCCAUUCAAGUUCUGAUUUCAUGGUUCUUUAGAUUCAUUUCUUUUGGAAUUCUGCAGAUGAGGAUACAGAUAC